GAAGAUUUUCGGAUCGUAAACUCCUUUCGAUCGGGAAGAACAGCUCUCGAGUGAAUAGCUGGAGAGUCUGACGGUACCGAGAGAAGAAGCCCCGGCUAACUCUGUGCCAGCAGCCGCGGUAAUACAGGGGGGGCAAGCGUUGUUCGGAAUUACUGGGCAUAAAGGGCUCGUAGGCGGCCAACUAAGUCCGACGUGAAAUCCCAAAGCUUAACUUUGGAACUGCGUCGGAUACUGGAUGGCUUGAAAUCGGGAGAGGGAUGCAGAAUUCCAGGUGUAGCGGUGAAAUGCGUAGAUAUCUGGAGGAAUACCGGUGGCGAAGGCGGCAUCCUGGACCGACAUUGACGCUGAGGAGCGAAAGCUAGGGGAGCAAACGGGAUUAGAUACCCCGGUAGUCCUAGCCCUAAACGAUGAAUGCUUGGUGUGGCGGGUAUCGAUCCCUGCCGUGCCGAAGCUAACGCAUUAAGCAUUCCGCCUGGGGAGUACGGUCGCAAGGCUGAAACUCAAAGG
Molecule: ribosomal RNA, 507 nt
Filed under: uncultured bacterium
Lineage: Bacteria
Description: bacterial SSU rRNA
Rfam family: Bacterial small subunit ribosomal RNA
Source: RNAcentral